Molecule: ribosomal RNA, 249 nt
Filed under: uncultured organism
Description: partial 16S ribosomal RNA
Rfam family: Bacterial small subunit ribosomal RNA
Source: RNAcentral
UGAGGAAUUUUCCGCAAUGGGCGAAAGCCUGACGGAGCAAUGCCGCGUGAAGGAUGAAGGCCUAUGGGUUGUAAACUUCUUUUCUCAGAGAAGAAUUUUGACGGUAUCUGAGGAAUAAGCAUCGGCUAACUCUGUGCCAGCAGCCGCGGUAAUACAUAGGGUGCAAGCGUUGUCCGGAAUUAUUGGGCGUAAAGAGCUCGUAGGUGGCUCGUCACGUCGAAUGUGAAACCCUGAGGCUCAACCUCAGGC